This 480-nucleotide ribosomal RNA is filed under the name uncultured bacterium. Its description in RNAcentral is "partial 16S ribosomal RNA". It matches the Rfam family "Bacterial small subunit ribosomal RNA", at positions 28 to 523 of the family's 1533-position model. The record is from RNAcentral.
GACGAACGCUGGCGGCGUGCUUAACACGUGCAAGUUGAGCGAUGAAACACCUUCGGGUGCGGAUUAGCGGCGAACGGGUGAGGAACACGUGAGGAAUCUGCCUUCCACUCUGGGAUAACUCCGGGAAACCGGGGCUAAUACCGGAUACUUUCAACUGGCGGAAUCGCCGGUUGAAGAAAGUUUUUCGGUGGAAGAUGACCUCGCGGCCUAUCAGCUUGUUGGUGAGGUAAAGGCUGACCAAGGCGACGACGGGUAGCCGGCCUGAGAGGGCGACCGGCCACACUGGGACUGAGACACGGCCCAGACUCCUACGGGAGGCAGCAGUGGGGAAUAUUGGGCAAUGGAGGAAACUCUGACCCAGCGACGCCGCGUGAGGGAUGAAGGCCUUCGGGUUGUAAACCUCUUUCAGCAGGGAAUAAGCGAAAGUGAAGGUACCUGCAGAAGAAGCACCGGCUAACUAUGUGCCAGCCGCCGCCGUAA